Long non-coding RNA from Triticum urartu, 1407 nucleotides. RefSeq lists it as uncharacterized. The record is from RefSeq and is a predicted model, not a curated record. NCBI's taxonomy places the organism in Eukaryota, Viridiplantae, Streptophyta, Magnoliopsida, Poales, Poaceae.
UAACACGUUGAACCCCUGCCGGACGCCUAAAACGAACCCACCAACCUCCAACCACGCAUCCCACCUCCCUUCUCCUCUGCCACAAUUCCCCUCCCCAGAUCCACCUUCUGCUCUUCCAGGGCGCGUCGCCCCAUCCCCACUGGAUUUCUUCCCACACCGACGCCGCCCCACCCCCAACCCGCUUCUUGCCCCGCCGACGCCGCCCCACCCCCAUCCGGCUUCUCCCACGCCGGUUCCGCCGCUGCCAAGCAACGGCCUUCCCGCACCCAUCUCCUCCUCCUCCCCGUGGUCAUGGUGCCACCACGUCCCGUCCGGUGCGCUUGAUGCUCUGCCUUCCCCUCCCCAGACCGGCCUUCCAUCAACGGCGGUCAGAUCCACCUUCCAACCCCGCCUCAUCGCGGUAAGCUUCGGCUCGCAGCCGACGGAGGCCCCACUGUCGGACAUCGUGCCACCACCAACCUCGGCUGCGAGGGUCCCUCGUCCCCUUCCAUGGCGAGCUAUGCCUCGCGUGGGACUCGGACCACCCCACCACCAGAUCCAUCCAGGGGAGGCAGAGGGGCUCUGGGCCGCCGCCACCUCCAUGAAGGGGUGCUCCGGACCGCCACCGCCGACGUCGCGCCCUUGCCUUCCCCACUGGAUGCAGCCUCACAGCGGUUUAGGCCACCAGCGGAGAGGAGGAAGGAGAAGUUCUUGUAUCCGGCCCCGCUACCUACCAGCACCGAUCUGGUUCCCCUCCCCCAAGCCGUACCUCGACGAGCUCUUACCUGUGUGCUAGUACUUGUGGACUAUAGCGACUGCGGCAGCCAAAAACACCAGUCGCCGUUCAGUUUCAUUGUGAAAAUCCUUGGCGCUGGCCACGCCCCGCCUUUUCCUGCUGCUUCGUCUGAGGCGAGGACGGCUUCCUCUCUCUGCCAUGUCAACCUCCGACCUUCACUACUUGCGCACGGAGUGCAUACUCCCUUCGGCGAGGAGCGAGGUCCAAUCCCAGUGGGCACGCGAUACGGUUUGAUGCGCGUGGCCGUGGAGUGCAGUUGACGCCCCGUGUGCACCUCACUGACGUGGUCCGAUAAAAAACUUCGGUUUUGUGCGGUUCCUGUGCAGUGCGUAUCAUCUUUUUUUGAGAAAAAGCAGUGCGCAUCAUCUAGUUCCACCUUUUCUUCACUUUCCGCCGGCGAAUAUGGCCCUGGUGGUGCUUUCCAUUGACCGUGAGGACAACGACCUCGCCCCUGUACUCCCCCUUUACCUCUCACCGUGCACAGGGCACAUGGCCCAUUGCCGCCGACCCUCAGCGGUCCAAUAUAAUUUUGCAGUCAAAUUGUUGGUGUUCUUUUUUACAAUAUAGGUACAGUUCGUUGUAAAUCCCUUUGUGGUUCACUUUGUGAAAAAGAGAGAGAAAAUAAUUGCAUC